Molecule: ribosomal RNA, 730 nt
Filed under: uncultured bacterium
Lineage: Bacteria
Description: bacterial SSU rRNA
Rfam family: Bacterial small subunit ribosomal RNA
Source: RNAcentral
AACAGGAUUUGAUACCCUGGUAGUCCACGCCGUAAACGGUGUCGAUUUGGAGGUUGUGCCCUUGAGGCGUGGCUUCCGGAGCUAACGCGUUAAAUCGACCGCCUGGGGAGUACGGCCGCAAGGUUAAAACUCAAAUGAAUUGACGGGGGCCCGCACAAGCGGUGGAGCAUGUGGUUUAAUUCGAUGCAACGCGAAGAACCUUACCUGGUCUUGACAUCCACAGAACUUUCCAGAGAUGGAUUGGUGCCUUCGGGAACUGUGAGACAGGUGCUGCAUGGCUGUCGUCAGCUCGUGUUGUGAAAUGUUGGGUUAAGUCCCGCAACGAGCGCAACCCUUAUCCUUUGUUGCCAGCGGUCCGGCCGGGAACUCAAAGGAGACUGCCAGUGAUAAACUGGAGGAAGGUGGGGAUGACGUCAAGUCAUCAUGGCCCUCACGACCAGGGCUACACACGUGCUACAAUGGCAUAUACAAAGAGAAGCGACCUCGCGAGAGCAAGCGGACCUCAUAAAGUAUGUCGUAGUCCGGAUUGGAGUCUGCAACUCGACUCCAUGAAGUCGGAAUCGCUAGUAAUCGUAGAUCAGAAUGCUACGGUGAAUACGUUCCCGGGCCUUGUACACACCGCCCGUCACACCAUGGGAGUGGGUUGCAAAAGAAGUAGGUAGCUUAACCUUCGGGAGGGCGCUUACCACUUUGUGAUUCAUGACUGGGGUGAAGUCGUAACAAGGUAACC